GACGAACGCUGGCGGCGUGCUUAACACAUGCAAGUCGAACGAAGAGCGAUGGAAGCUUGCUUCUAUCAAUCUUAGUGGCGAACGGGUGAGUAACGCGUAAUCAACCUGCCCUUCAGAGGGGGACAACAGUUGGAGACGACUGCUAAUACCGCAUACGAUCUAACCUCGGCAUCGAGGAUAGAUGAAAGGUGGCCUCUACAUGUAAGCUAUCACUGAAGGAGGGGAUUGCGUCUGAUUAGCUAGUUGGAGGGGUAACGGCCCACCAAGGCGAGGAUCAGUAGCCGGUCUGAGAGGAUGAACGGCCACAUUGGGACUGAGACACGGCCCAGACUCCUACGGGAGGCAGCAGUGGGGAAUCUUCCGCAAUGGACGAAAGUCUGACGGAGCAACGCCGCGUGAGUGAUGACGGCCUUCGGGUUGUAAAGCUCUGUUAAUCGGGACGAAAGGCCUUCUUGCGAAUAGUGAGAAGGAUUGACGGUACCGGAAUAGAAAGCCACGGCUAACUACGUG
RNAcentral lists this ribosomal RNA (510 nucleotides) under uncultured bacterium. RNAcentral's name for it is "partial 16S ribosomal RNA". It matches the Rfam family "Bacterial small subunit ribosomal RNA", at positions 28 to 507 of the family's 1533-position model. The record is from RNAcentral.